This 3952-nucleotide long non-coding RNA is filed under the name Mus musculus (house mouse). RNAcentral describes it as "long non-coding RNA chr16:8847716-8851668". Lineage: Eukaryota; Metazoa; Chordata; Mammalia; Rodentia; Muridae. The record is from RNAcentral.
GGUGUGGGUAUAAACAGCACUGUGGGGACUGAGAACCUUUGGAAAGUGGGAGAGAGUAAUUUGUGGGAAGGAAUCUCACGUUAGAACAACUGGUAUUUUGCAGGGCCUGAGAAUGAAACCAUGAGAGCUAGUCUUUUUUAAAAGUGUCAUUAAACAAUCUACCAUAGAAUGUCAUCUGGUAGUGUUACUGUGCAGGUCUUGUAGAGAGAGCUAGUCUUUGGUGUAUACUUUUAAAAAAAUAAUUUUUUUAUCUUGUGUAUACUUUUAAAAAGCUGUUUUCUGAGGUUUGGUCUUCUUACUGUGGAGCCUGGGUUGGUCUGGAGCUUGUUGUGAAGACUAGGCUAGCUUUGAAUUUUUAGCUAGUCAUCCUUUUUGCUCUGCCUGGUGUGCAAUCCUUAAUUGCUAGGCCUUUUUAGUAUGCUGUAUGUCAACAGAAAGCCCAUUUAAUUAAUGUUCACCUACUCUGUGUUAUUGGUUCAUUGAUGGAGAAAGGCUAAUUUUGUUAAGGUAGAACAGGUUAAUAAGUGAUAAAGUAGAUUAUUUGGGGUCUUUCUGGCUCUAAAAAUUGUUCUCCUGCCCACAGGGAGUCUAUUUCUAUUGAUUGUAUUUUUUUCCCCUCCUGGGCUUGGAUGGGUGGGAAAUUGCUAAAGCAAUUUCAGAAAAAUUUUCAGAAAAUAUUUAAAUUUUAUGUUUGGGUUUCUUUUAUCAGUGAAUCUGGGUUAAGUGUAUUCGAAGGUAUAUGCUUCGUGGCCAGUUUUAUGUACCCUUAGCUUACUGUGGUAGGAAGAGCAUAGCUAUGUGUAGGCCACAAUAUCCUGUGUAACCUUGGGCAAUCUGCUUAAGAUCUCUAAUACCAUCUUUGUAAAAGUGAUCUCCUUUAUAUGAGAACCAACUAGAUUGCUUACCUAUCCCUCUAAUGAUCCUGUGUAAAUGUUCUUGCUUCUGACAGCCACAGCUUUUUUUCCCUUUACUGUAGUAAAUUAUAGCUAUCACUCCAUAGGGUUAAUCUUGCCUACAUGUAUGGUUAUAUAUCAUUUGUGUGCAUUGCCUGUGGAGGCUAGAAGGCGGCUUUGGAUUUCAUGGAACUUGAGUAACAGAUGGUUGUUAGCUACUGUGUGGGUGCUGGAAAUCAAUAGAAGCCAGUGGUUUUAACCUUUGAGCUAUCUCUCUAGCCUCUGCUGUGUGUGUCUCCCCCGUUUAUUACUAAAUCUUGAGCUUAGUUCCUGUGAACAAGCUGGAGAAGUUGGUUCUGAGUUGCCCUGUUGAAACUAGUGCUAUUUGGAGAGCCUUAGUCUGAAGCCUUCAGGGAGUCAUCAUGGAGAUAGGUGCAAGGGUGCAUAGUAGGAAGGCAGGCACAUUCCAGAGAGAGGGAAGGUUUGUUAACUAAAACUUUACUCAUCUGAAAACUAUUUAAGCUUCAUUCUCCUAAAACAGUUGGUUGCUAACUCUGGUCCACACUGACUCUUAAAACGUAAAGAUGCUUUUAUUCCAGAAAUUAUCUUGAUGACAUUCUUGACUUUUAUGCUAGACUUAAACCCAUUGGGCUUAAAUCGUUUUAAAAGUAUUGCCAUUUUAGUUAGAUUUAUUGUCACUGAUGAGAAUUAUUGCUCUUGGCAUUUCAAUUUAAGAUACCGUGUUCUCAAUCUUAUUUUUUGUGUGUGUUGAAAGUCAGUGAGCUUUGGGAGAAGGAUUUGGGCAAAGUCAAGACAGUGGAGGCUUUUUGUCACACUUGAAGAUUAAACAGGGACAAACUAAAAAGAUAGCGUUUGUCGUCUUUCUUUUCUGGAGACAUUUCUCAUUGUAUAUACUUGCCUGGCCUGGAAUUUGUUGUGUAGAGCAAGAAAGUCUUUAAUUUCUGGACUUCAAAGAAGCUCCUGCCUCAACCAUCCCAGUUGCUGGCACUGUAGGUGUGAGCGUGUAUGUCUGUCUGUUCUUUCGUCUGUGUGUUUGCUUGCCUGCUGAGGAUCAAACCUGGGAGCUUUGAACUCUACCCUUGAGUGAUACCCCAGUCUUUGGAAAGGUACCUUCAAAAGAGAUUCCUCGGUAAGUUAGGACAAGGUUCCUUAGUGCUGAAGGUUGAAGCCCCCCCCCCCCUUUUUUUGAAAACCCUUUGUUUUCUUUGUGGUUUUGUUAUGGGUUGUGAUUUCAUCAUUUUAAAACAUAUGUAUAAAGACAUACACAAAUGUGCAUUUUGCCUUUCUGUAGUUUAGUACUUUCUAUAGAUAGUAUUUACUCACAGUAAAUACCAGGUGCUAUUUUGCCAACACAGGGACAUGUGACUAAAGAUGACUCAUCUCAAAGAAUGUCUGGCCUGGUAAAAUUAAUACCAUCUUGAAGCAUGUAAGCAUAAGGAAUCAGUCUGAGACACAGUUUUGUGUGUGUGUGUGUGUGUGUGUGUGUGUGUGUGUGUGGUAGAGAGUAAGUUUGAGUUUAUUUAUUUCCUUGCCAUUGAACUCUGGGCCUUGUUUAUGCUAGGCAAGCACUUUUUAGCACUGAGCUCCAAUUCUAGCCACAUCCUUAGCAAUGUUCCUUGCCAGCUUCUUGGGUCUAGAGAGUCUGGGCGUGGAGCCUGUAGAAAUAAAUAAAUAAAUGAAAUGGAGUCAUUGGAAUUUGGAUUUAGUGGUAUAAAGUUUCACAAGAAUUCUCACUAGAAUUCCUUAUUCAUCACAUACAAAGCGUUAAGCAGCUACCUUCUUUACCCCAGAAGGAAAGAUGUGACUUUAGGCAUCAUAAACCAGAUUUUCUUCUCUGUACAGGUUUCACAGUGAUUCUAUUGAAACAUUCUUUGGCUUACAUGUGGCAAAAUGAUUUUUAAAGAGAUAACUACAUCCAGGGGAACUAUGAUAAAUUACACACUUACUAGUGCCUUGGUUCUCUUCCUUUCUUGGUCUCAUUCUGCCUUCCCUUCUGAUGAUUUAGCAAAAGCAUGAGAACAGUAGCUUGAGAGUUUACAAGUUCAUGAAGUGUUGAGAUAGCAUACAAAAAAUUGUUUGCAUUAUUUUUUGUAAUGGCAGAGGACUGGCUAGAACCAACUUUUGAGGGUUUGUUGAUAUCUGUUCAUCUUUCACAGUUACCCACCCCCCCCCCUUUUUUUUUUCUCCUGGUAUGUGGAAUAUUGUAAUGCUUGCUGAAUAUUGCAGCCAGGUACAUCUUCUUAAAGUACUGGAACUGUUACUAGCUAUUCAAUAAUCAGUCUAAAAACAUACUUGGAACUCGAUGUAAGAUUUCACCACCAAAGUAAUCUCUUAAUCACUUAUAUUUGAUUGACGAUUUUGCCUUUACAUUUUCUCUGAAGGAACUUUUACAUCAUUAGCUUUCCUUCAGACCUGUUCCAGAGACCUACAGAAUUACAGCAGGGCACUUAAAAAUAGUAUUGAUUUUGAAUGAAAAGUUGGUAUUUUCUGUACAUUAAGGAUAGAUGUUAAAUUAAAUAACCAAAGAUAUUGGAGAUAGAUUAAUCUUCAGUAUUAGUAACACAGGAUUUUUUUGAACUUGUAAUAAGGUUUUGGUGGCUAUUGUACUGGAAAAAUUAAAAGGCUAUGUAAGUCUCAAAGCUAGGUGACUUACCCUAGUACUUAUUCGGUAAUCUGUUGGUAGCUAUUAAACAAUUGAAUUAUCCGAGUUUAAUUCUGGAGAAUUUUUUAAAAGCAAAAAGGUUCAGUGUCUUGUGAUUUCAUUCUAUAGAAACAAAUGCAGCCAAAUGAUGCAUUUUCUUCUAGUCUUUUUUUUUCCAUGUAUAAAUAUUUCACAGUUGACUCAGACUGCAUAUAUGGUACUGUAUCUUGCUUUUCUCACUUAACAUCAUGAACCUUUCUUUCCUGUGGCAUUAAAAACUGUCUUUGAAAAAUGACUGUCUUUGAUAAAUGGAAAGCAUUUGGGGCUGUUAGUAUAACUGAAAUGUUUUCUUGGUGUGACACAUGUACCUUUGUAAUUGGCUUGAUUUAGUGUGCUU